RNAcentral lists this ribosomal RNA (251 nucleotides) under uncultured bacterium. RNAcentral describes it as "partial 16S ribosomal RNA". It matches the Rfam family "Bacterial small subunit ribosomal RNA", at positions 526 to 779 of the family's 1533-position model. The record is from RNAcentral.
CGUAGGCGCAAGCGUUGUCCGGAAUUAUUGGGAGUAAGAGCUCGUAGGCGGUUUGUCGCGUCUGCUGUGAAAGCCCGGGGCUUAACCCCGGGUGUGCAGUGGGUACGGGCAGACUUGAGUGCAGUAGGGAGGACUGGAAUUCCUGGUGUAGCGGUGAAUACGCAGAUAUCAGGAGGAACACCGAUGGCGAAGGCAGGUCUCUGGGCUGUUACUGACGCUGAGGAGCGAAAGCAUGGGGAGCGAACAGGAUU